UACAGAGGUCUCAAGCGUUGUUCGGAUUCAUUGGGCGUAAAGGGCGCGCAGGCGGCGCGGCAAGUCGGGUGUGAAAUCUCGGAGCUUAACUCCGAAACUGCAUUCGAUACUGCCGUGCUUGAGGACUGGAGAGGAGACUGGAAUUUACGGUGUAGCGGUGAAAUGCGUAGAUAUCGUAAGGAAGACCAGUGGCGAAGGCGGGUCUCUGGGCAGUUCCUGACGCUGAGGCACGAAGGUCAGGGGAGCAAACGGG
Molecule: ribosomal RNA, 253 nt
Filed under: uncultured bacterium
Lineage: Bacteria
Description: partial 16S ribosomal RNA
Rfam family: Bacterial small subunit ribosomal RNA
Source: RNAcentral